Molecule: long non-coding RNA, 731 nt
Organism: Patella vulgata (common limpet)
Lineage: Eukaryota; Metazoa; Mollusca; Gastropoda; Patellidae
Exons: 3
Source: RefSeq, a predicted model, not a curated record
GGAAAUUCCAGAGAAUGUUAUUUAAUUAUUCCGGAUCUAAUCUCCUGUAACCAGGAUGUUUUUCAAUGGGGGAGGGGCUUAUAUUUUAUAUAAAAAGAGCACUAACAGCUUACAACAUUAUUACAAGUUUCAGAAGCUGGAGUAAGAAGAUUAGCAGGUUAACAAAGCUAAAAUAAAAAUGAAGGUCUAUCAAACCAUGUUUGUGUCCCUUGUGGUCAUUUCUGUUAUCGGUGAUGUGGGUCAUUUUUUCCAGUCUCUCUCGGCUUCUCCAGGUAGUGAGUUGUCAAGGAAUUCCUACAGUUUGAUCUCAGGGGCUGACGCAUGGGUUGGGUUAGCUGCCAGAGCUGUUGGUAGAGCUAUAAAGAGUGCUGCUGGUCACAGAAAAAAUAAACGUCCAAGCAACAAAGGUAAACACCAGAAAGGAGACGCUCGACGACAGAGAGAUCAAAACAGGUCUGAUGGACAAAAGGGCGGUAAAGGCAAAAGUAAGAAACGAGGUUGAAGAACAAAUUGAACGUGAAAAACAAUUUUAAAAGAAAUACAGAAGUAAAGUUAACCUGCAAGAAAAUAAUUGGGAUUCUUUUUACAUGAACGCAUAAUUCUAAUUUUGUUUACAUUUUAUAUUUACACUAUACAUUGUGCACUGUAUUAUUUGUUACAUUUUUAUCAUUCUUAUUUUUAAAUACAACGUGGUAUUUCUUAAAAUAAAAUGUCAUUGCAGAUACAGGGAA